CCUCCGCCUCCGCCUCCGCCUCCAGCGGCCUCUCUUUCCCCCACCCCAAGCCCCGCUCACGUCUGAUAACUGCAGGGAGGACACAACCGUGAGUCAGAGUCGCGUGGUUGCUGGAAGCUUCCAUCGUCCCCGCCCCCACUGGACUCUAGGUGCAAGUUUCGUUUUCCUUAAGUUUCACGUCUUCUCAACUAGUCAGGGAAUGGAAACAGCCUAGAUGUCUAUUAUCCGGUGAAAGGAGAAUGAAGAUGUGGAACAUAUACACAAUGGAACAAUAUUCAACUAUAAAAGAAAAAUGAAAUUUGCAGUUGCUGAAUAUAAUGGACUGAGGCUUUGCACAUGGACUUUUGAAUGGCAAUUAUACAAAUGACAGUGGCUCUGGACUGUUUAAGAAAGCUAACUAAGUACGACCCAACAAGCAAGCCAGCAAGCAGCAUUCUCCCAUUUUUUUUUUUCUGUUUUAGUCAUGGACUGUAUCUGUAAGCUGAAAUAAACACUUUCUUCCCCUAAAUUGCUUUUGGUCAGAGUGUUUUAUCACAGCAAUAGGGUGAAAACAGAGCACAUGCCAGUAUUUGC
This 573-nucleotide long non-coding RNA is filed under the name Cricetulus griseus (Chinese hamster). RNAcentral describes it as "lncRNA (ENSCGRG00015035467.1)". Lineage: Eukaryota; Metazoa; Chordata; Mammalia; Rodentia; Cricetidae. The record is from RNAcentral.